RNAcentral lists this ribosomal RNA (253 nucleotides) under uncultured bacterium. Its description in RNAcentral is "partial 16S ribosomal RNA". It matches the Rfam family "Bacterial small subunit ribosomal RNA", at positions 524 to 776 of the family's 1533-position model. The record is from RNAcentral.
UACGUAGGGGGCAAGCGUUGUCCGGAUUUAUUGGGCGUAAAGAGCGUGUAGGCGGCCACACAGGUCUGCUGUGAAAACUCGAGGCUCAACCUCGAGCUGUCGGUGGAAACCGUGUGGCUAGAGUCCGGAAGAGGAGAGUGGAAUUCCCGGUGUAGCGGUGAAAUGCGCAGAUAUCAGGAAGAACACCCGUGGCGAAGGCGGCUCUCUGGACCACAACUGACGCUGAGGCGCGAAAGCUAGGGGAGCAAACAGG